UGAGGAAUAUUGGUCAAUGGGCGAGAGCCUGAACCAGCCAAAUCGCGUGAAGGAUGAAGGUAUUAUGUAUUGUAAACUUCUUUUACAGGGGAAUAAAGUGCGGGACGUGUCCCGUUUUGUAUGUACCCUGAGAAUAAGGAUCGGCUAACUCCGUGCCAGCAGCCGCGGUAAUACGGAGGAUCCAAGCGUUAUCCGGAUUUAUUGGGUUUAAAGGGUGCGUAGGCGGGGAAUCAAGUCAGCGGUGAAAGUUUGCGGCUCAACCGUAAAAUUGCCGUUGAAACUGGUUCUCUUGAGUGUAGAUGAGGUGGGUGGAAUUCGUGGUGUAGCGGUGAAAUGCUUAGAUAUCACGAAGAACUCCAAUUGCGUAGGCAGCUCACUGGGCUACAACUGACGCUGAGGCACGAAGGUGCGGGGAUCAAACAGG
RNAcentral lists this ribosomal RNA (424 nucleotides) under uncultured bacterium. RNAcentral describes it as "bacterial SSU rRNA". It matches the Rfam family "Bacterial small subunit ribosomal RNA", at positions 355 to 776 of the family's 1533-position model. The record is from RNAcentral. RNAcentral also lists the same sequence under 2 other names.